RNAcentral lists this ribosomal RNA (405 nucleotides) under uncultured bacterium. RNAcentral's name for it is "partial 16S ribosomal RNA". It matches the Rfam family "Bacterial small subunit ribosomal RNA", at positions 28 to 526 of the family's 1533-position model. The record is from RNAcentral.
GAUGAACGCUGGCGGCGUGCCUAAUACAUGCAAGUCGAGCGAAGAGGGGACGGGGGAGGAAAACGUGGAUAACCUCCUAUAAGACUGGGAUAACUUCGGGAAACCGGAGCUAAUCCGGAUUCUUAUCGAUGGAUCCGCGCUCGAUUAGCUAGGUGGUAAGGUAACGGCUUACCAAGGCAACGAUUCAUAGCCGACCUGAGAGGGUGAUCGGCCACACUGGAACUGAGACACGGUCCAGACUCCUACGGGAGGCAGCAGUAGGGAAUCUUCCGCAAUGGGCGAAAGCCUGACGGAGCAACGCCGCGUGAGUGAUGAAGGUCUUCGGAUUGUAAAACUCUGUUAUUAGGGAAGCGGUACCGAAUCAGAAAGCCACGGCUAACUCCGUGCCAGCAGCCGCGGUAAUUC